RNAcentral lists this ribosomal RNA (259 nucleotides) under uncultured bacterium. RNAcentral's name for it is "partial 16S ribosomal RNA". It matches the Rfam family "Bacterial small subunit ribosomal RNA", at positions 96 to 353 of the family's 1533-position model. The record is from RNAcentral.
CGGCGGACGGGUGAGUAACGCGUGGGUAACCUGCCUUAUACAGGGGGAUAACAGUCAGAAAUGGCUGCUAAUACCGCAUAAGCGCACAGAGCUGCAUGGCUCAGUGUGAAAAACUCCGGUGGUAUAAGAUGGACCCGCGUUGGAUUAGCUAGUUGGUGAGGUAACGGCCCACCAAGGCAACGAUCGGUAGCCGGACUGAGAGGUUGAACGGCCACAUUGGGACUGAGACACGGCCCAGACUCCUACGGGAGGCAGCAUG